ACCCUUCGGGGAGCCUAUACAGGGUGUUGCAUGGCUGUCGUCAGCUCGUGUCGUGAGAUGUUCGGUUAAGUCCGCUAACGAGCGCAACCCUCGUCGUAUGUUAUAUGUGUCACACGGAACUGCCGGUCAUAACCGGAGGAAGGUGGGGAGUGACGUCAAGUCAGCAUGGCCUUUAUAUCCUGGGCUACACACACGCUACAAUGGGAAAGGGACGAAUAGGUUGCGAAGCCGCGAGGCGGAGCCAAUACCAGCAAAACUUCCCUCAGUUCAGAUUGCAGGCUGCAACCCGCCUGCAUGAAGUUGGAGUUGCUAGUAAACGCAGGUCAGCCAUACUGCGUUGAAUACGUUCCCGGGGCUU
Molecule: ribosomal RNA, 358 nt
Filed under: uncultured Anaerolineaceae bacterium
Lineage: Bacteria; Bacillati; Chloroflexota; Anaerolineae; Anaerolineales; Anaerolineaceae
Description: bacterial SSU rRNA
Rfam family: Bacterial small subunit ribosomal RNA
Source: RNAcentral